This 253-nucleotide ribosomal RNA is filed under the name uncultured bacterium. RNAcentral's name for it is "partial 16S ribosomal RNA". It matches the Rfam family "Bacterial small subunit ribosomal RNA", at positions 524 to 776 of the family's 1533-position model. The record is from RNAcentral.
UACGUAGGGACCGAGCGUUGUCCGGAAUCAUUGGGCGUAAAGAGCGUGUAGGCGGCUAUUUAAGUCCUGCGUGAAAUCCUGCGGCUCAACCGCAGACGGUCGUGGGAAACUGGAUGGCUAGAGUCCGGAAGAGGAGAGUGGAAUUCCUGGUGUAGCGGUGAAAUGCGCAGAUAUCAGGAAGAACACCCGUGGCGAAGGCGGCUCUCUGGGACGGUACUGACGCUGAGACGCGAAAGCGUGGGGAGCGAACAGG